AUUCCAGCUCCAAUAGCGUAUAUUUAAGUUGCUGCAGUUAAAAAGCUCGUAGUUGGAUUUCGGAUGGGAUUUGCCGGUCCGCCGUUCCGGUGUGCACUGGCCAGUCUCAUCUUGUUGUUGGGGACUAGCUCCUGGGCUUCACUGUCCGGGACUAGGAGCUGACGAGGUUACUUUGAGUAAAUUAGAGUGUUCAAAGCAAGCCUACGCUCUGAAUACAUUAGCAUGGAAUAACAUGAUAGGACUCUGGCUUAUCUUGUUGGUCUGUGAGACCAGAGUAAUGAUUAAGAGGGACAGUCGGGGACAUUCGUAUUUCAUUGUCAGAGGUGAAAUUCUUGGAUUUAUGAAAGACGAACUUCUGCGAAAGCAUUUGUCAAGGAUGUUUUCAUUA
RNAcentral lists this ribosomal RNA (388 nucleotides) under Tetraselmis sp. Its description in RNAcentral is "partial small subunit ribosomal RNA". It matches the Rfam family "Eukaryotic small subunit ribosomal RNA", at positions 582 to 975 of the family's 1831-position model. The record is from RNAcentral. Lineage: Eukaryota; Viridiplantae; Chlorophyta; Chlorodendrophyceae; Chlorodendrales; Chlorodendraceae.